UACGAAGGGUGCAAGCGUUAAUCGGAUUUACUGGGCGUAAAGCGCGCGUAGGUGGCCAAUUAAGUCAAAUGUGAAAUCCCCGAGCUUAACUUGGGAAUUGCAUUCGAUACUGGUUGGCUAGAGUAUGGGAGAGGAUGGUAGAAUUCCAGGUGUAGCGGUGAAAUGCGUAGAGAUCUGGAGGAAUACCGAUGGCGAAGGCAGCCAUCUGGCCUAAUACUGACACUGAGGUGCGAAAGCGUGGGGAGCAAACAGG
Molecule: ribosomal RNA, 253 nt
Filed under: uncultured bacterium
Lineage: Bacteria
Description: partial 16S ribosomal RNA
Rfam family: Bacterial small subunit ribosomal RNA
Source: RNAcentral